UACGUAGGGGGCUAGCGUUGUCCGGAUUUAUUGGGCGUAAAGAGCUCGUAGGCGGUGUGUCACGUCGGCCGUGAAAACCUGGGGCUUAACUCUGGGCGUGCGGUCGAUACGGGCAUCACUAGAGUUCGGCAGGGGAGACUGGAAUUCCUGGUGUAGCGGUGAAAUGCGCAGAUAUCAGGAGGAACACCGGUGGCGAAGGCGGGUCUCUGGGCCGAUACUGACGCUGAGGAGCGAAAGCGUGGGGAGCAAACAGG
This 254-nucleotide ribosomal RNA is filed under the name uncultured bacterium. RNAcentral describes it as "partial 16S ribosomal RNA". It matches the Rfam family "Bacterial small subunit ribosomal RNA", at positions 524 to 776 of the family's 1533-position model. The record is from RNAcentral.